RNAcentral lists this ribosomal RNA (439 nucleotides) under uncultured bacterium. RNAcentral describes it as "partial 16S ribosomal RNA". It matches the Rfam family "Bacterial small subunit ribosomal RNA", at positions 338 to 795 of the family's 1533-position model. The record is from RNAcentral.
CCUACGGGAGGCAGCAGUGGGGGAUAUUGCACAAUGGGGGGAACCCUGAUGCAGCGACGCCGCGUGAGUGAAGGAGUGCUUCGGCAUGUAAAGCUCUAUCGGCAGGGAAGAAGCAAGACGGUACCUGACUAAGAAGCCCCGGCUAACUACGUGCCAGCAGCCGCGGUAAUACGUAGGGGGCGAGCGUUAUCCGGAUUCACUGGGUUUAAAGGGUGCGUGGCGGUGAGUUAAGUCAGAGGGAAAAUUGAGGGGCCAAACCCCUUCCCGCACUUGAAACUGGCGCGCUUGAGUGGAAGAGAGGUAUGCGGAAUGCGUGGUGUAGCGGUGAAAUGCAUAGAUAUUACGAAGAACCCCGAUGGCGAAGGCAGCAUGCCGGAUUCCGACUGACGCUGAAGCACGAAAGCGUGGGGAUCGAACAGGAUUAGAUACCCGGGUAGUC